GAACGAGAUCUUAACCUGCUAAUUAGCGGUAAAUACACUAUAUUCUUAAGUGAAAUUAGAAUAUAGAUAAAUUGUGCUAAUUUUGAUUAAAAUAUUAGAAUGUUUUUUUUAAUAAAAACGUUCUUUUCCCUUUUUUUCUUAAUUAUGCAUAUUUAUUUUUUUUCUUUUUUUGCAUAAGAAUGUAUUUGCUUAAUUGUAAAGCUUCUUAGAGGAACGAUGUGUGUCUAACACAAGGAAGUUUAAGGCAACAACAGGUCUGUGAUGUCCUUAGAUGAACUAGGCUGCACGCGUGCUACACUGAUAUGUAUAACGAGUAUUUAAAAAUAUAUAUCUUGUUAUGUUAUACGUAUUUCUAUAUGUAUGCAUACAAAGAAUAUAUAGUUUUCCUCCACUGAAAAGUGUAGGUAAUCUUUAUCAAUA
This 420-nucleotide ribosomal RNA is filed under the name Plasmodium malariae. Its description in RNAcentral is "partial 18S ribosomal RNA". It matches the Rfam family "Eukaryotic small subunit ribosomal RNA", at positions 1333 to 1560 of the family's 1831-position model. Lineage: Eukaryota; Apicomplexa; Aconoidasida; Haemosporida; Plasmodiidae. The record is from RNAcentral.